RNAcentral lists this ribosomal RNA (158 nucleotides) under Paragalactinia succosella. RNAcentral's name for it is "Peziza succosella 5.8S ribosomal RNA". It matches the Rfam family "5.8S ribosomal RNA". From Rfam's summary of the family: 5.8S ribosomal RNA (5.8S rRNA) is a component of the large subunit of the eukaryotic ribosome. RNAcentral also lists the same sequence under 1 other name. Lineage: Eukaryota; Fungi; Ascomycota; Pezizomycetes; Pezizales; Pezizaceae. The record is from RNAcentral.
AAACUUUCAACAACGGAUCUCUAGGCUCUUGCAUCGAUGAAGAACGCAGUGAAAUGCGAUAAGUAAUGUGAAUUGCAGAAUCUCGUGAAUCAUCGAAUCUUUGAACGCACAUUGCGCCCUAUGGAAUUCUGUAGGGCAUGCCUGUCUGAGCGUCAGCA